Ornithodoros turicata is the source of this 673-nucleotide long non-coding RNA. RefSeq lists it as uncharacterized. The transcript is spliced from 3 exons. Lineage: Eukaryota; Metazoa; Arthropoda; Arachnida; Ixodida; Argasidae. The record is from RefSeq and is a predicted model, not a curated record.
UCUACGGGGAACGCAAUAGCUGGGACGCAUGUGCGUGUACGUUCGUGUGCUGCUCUCGUGUUUUUUGUACGUGAAAUGCAUCUCAGAGAGCUGAGGAACUACGAACAACCAUGCCUGAUUGUUGUGCAGCAACGGGACAGAGUCAGGCAAAGCCUUUUUCUGCAUUCCGACGGGCAAAAAUUACGAGACACGUAGAUCGGCACAGAAUCGGCCGGAAGAACUUCGCGCCUACGAAUAACACGCGCUUGAGCGAGGGCAAUCCCACGCGAUACCUCGAGGACAAGAAGAAUCGAAAGGAAGAAAUUGAAGUGAACGGCAGUCCGAAGCAUUUUCGCAUACCGGACACCUACGAGGCUGAGGAAAGCUCCUAUCCCCCGUUCUUCGCACGCAGAGUUCUCCGAGGAGUCACCAAAAGAGUUGCACCAAGUUGAUGACAUCCCAGUAGGAAGACAACACCGUCACAAAUUUCUGUGACCAGAGCAUCGAGGAACAUGCACAAGACAAACUGCAGACAAGCCAUGGUCCCCUCGACGAGAUCGCAGUCUUAAAAGAAAUGAGCAAAGGCUGAGAGAGAAUGUAGUGAUCUCAGGCUCACGGUCUACUCGUCAUGGAAGAUCAACUGCUUGCAUUGGAGCGGGGGAUUGGAAGAACAAUCCAUAGCACUUUACAUGCG